GAUGAACGCUAGCGGCAGGCUUAAUACAUGCAAGUCGAGGGGCAGCACGGGUAGCAAUACCUGGUGGCGACCGGCAAACGGGUGCGGAACACGUACGCAACCUUCCCAUAACUGGUGAAUAGCCUUCCGAAAGGGAGAUUAAUACACCGUAACAUAACGAAAAGGCAUCUUUUGUUAUUAUAGGCUUCGGCCGGUUUUGGAUGGGCGUGCGCCUGAUUAGGUAGUUGGCGGGGUAACGGCCCACCAAGCCUGCGAUCAGUAACUGGUGUGAGAGCACGACCAGUCACACGGGCACUGAGACACGGGCCCGACUCCUACGGGAGGCAGCAGUAAGGAAUAUUGGUCAAUGGACGAAAGUCUGAACCAGCCAUGCCGCG
Molecule: ribosomal RNA, 377 nt
Filed under: uncultured bacterium
Lineage: Bacteria
Description: bacterial SSU rRNA
Rfam family: Bacterial small subunit ribosomal RNA
Source: RNAcentral